GACGAACGCUGGCGGCGUGCUUAACACAUGCAAGUCGAACGGAAAGGCCCCUUUGGGGGUACUCGAGUGGCGAACGGGUGAGUAACACGUGAGUAACCUGCCCUUGACUUCGGGAUAACUUCAGGAAACUGGGGCUAAUACCGGAUAGGAAUCCUUGCUGCAUGGUGGGGGUUGGAAAGCUUCGGCGGUUUUGGAUGGACUCGCGGCUUAUCAGCUUGUUGGUGGGGUAGUGGCUUACCAAGGCUUUGACGGGUAGCCGGCCUGAGAGGGCGACCGGCCACAUUGGGACUGAGAUACGGCCCAGACGCCUACGGGAGGAAGCAGUGGGGAAGAUUGCACAAUGGGCGGAAGCCUGAUGCAGCAACGCCGCGUGCGGGAUGACGGCCUUCGGGUUGUAAACCGCUUUCAGCAGGGGCGAAGCUUGUGGUGACGGUACCUGCAGAAGAAGCACCGGCUAACUACGUG
Molecule: ribosomal RNA, 465 nt
Filed under: uncultured bacterium
Lineage: Bacteria
Description: partial 16S ribosomal RNA
Rfam family: Bacterial small subunit ribosomal RNA
Source: RNAcentral